AUUGAACGCUGGCGGCAGGCCUAACACAUGCAAGUCGAGCGGAUGAAGGGAGCUUGCUCCUGGAUUCAGCGGCGGACGGGUGAGUAAUGCCUAGGAAUCUGCCUGGUAGUGGGGGAUAACGUCCGGAAACGGGCGCUAAUACCGCAUACGUCCUGAGGGAGAAAGUGGGGGAUCUUCGGACCCCACGCUAUCAGAUGAGCCUAGGUCGGAUUAGCUAGUUGGUGGGGUAAAGGCCUACCAAGGCGACGAUCCGUAACUGGUCUGAGAGGAUGAUCAGUCACACUGGAACUGAGACACGGUCCAGGCUCCUACGGGAGGCAGCAGUGGGGAAUAUUGGACAAUGGGCGAAAGCCUGAUCCAGCCAUGCCGCGUGUGUGAAGAAGGUCUUCGGAUUGUAAAGCACUUUAAGUUGGGAGGAAGGGCAGUAAGUUAAUACCUUGCUGUUUUGACGUUACCAACAGAAUAAGCACCGGCUAACUUCGUG
Molecule: ribosomal RNA, 484 nt
Filed under: uncultured bacterium
Lineage: Bacteria
Description: partial 16S ribosomal RNA
Rfam family: Bacterial small subunit ribosomal RNA
Source: RNAcentral